AGAGUUUGAUCCUGGCUCAGGAUGAACGCUGGCGGCGUGCUUAACACAUGCAAGUCGAACGAACCUUCGGGUUAGUGGCGGACGGGUGAGUAACGCGUGGGAAUCUGCCCUCAGGAGGGGGAUAACGGCCGGAAACGGCCGCUAAUACCCCAUAUGCCGAGAGGUGAAAUGAAUUUCGCCUGAGGAUGAGCCCGCGUCUGAUUAGCUAGUUGGUGUGGUAAUGGCGCACCAAGGCGACGAUCAGUAGCUGGUCUGAGAGGAUGAUCAGCCACACUGGGACUGAGACACGGCCCAGACUCCUACGGGAGGCAGCAGUGGGGAAUUUUCCGCAAUGGGCGAAAGCCUGACGGAGCAACGCCGCGUGAGGGAUGAAGGCCUCUGGGCUGUAAACCUCUUUUCUCAAGGAAGAAGACAUGACGGUACUUGAGGAAUAAGCCACGGCUAAUUCCGUGCCAGCAGCCGCGGUAAUACGGGAGUGGCAAGCGUUAUCCGGAAUUAUUGGGCGUAAAGCGUCCGCAGGCGGCCUUGUAAGUCUGUCGUUAAAGCGUGGAGCUUAACUCCAUUUCAGCGAUGGAAACUACAAGGCUUGAGUGUGGUAGGGGCAGAGGGAAUUCCCGGUGUAGCGGUGAAAUGCGUAGAUAUCGGGAAGAACACCAGUGGCGAAGGCGCUCUGCUGGGCCAUAACUGACGCUCAUGGACGAAAGCCAGGGGAGCGAAAGGGAUUAGAUACCCCUGUAGUCCUGGCCGUAAACGAUGAACACUAGGUGUCGGGGGAAUCGACCCCCUCGGUGUCGUAGCUAACGCGUUAAGUGUUCCGCCUGGGGAGUACGCACGCAAGUGUGAAACUCAAAGGAAUUGACGGGGGCCCGCACAAGCGGUGGAGUAUGUGGGUUUAAUUCGAUGCAACGCGAAGAACCUUACCAGGGUUUGACAUCCUGCGAAUCCCUUGAAAACGAGGGAGUGCCUUCGGGAGCGCAGAGACAGGUGGUGCAUGGCUGUCGUCAGCUCGUGUCGUGAGAUGUUGGGUUAAGUCCCGCAACGAGCGCAACCCACGUCUUUAGUUGCCAGCAUUCAGUUGGGCACUCUAGAGAGACCGCCGGUGAUAAACCGGAGGAAGGUGUGGAUGACGUCAAGUCAUCAUGCCCCUUACAUCCUGGGCUACACACGUACUACAAUGCUACGGACAAAGGGUUGCAAGCUCGCGAGAGUUAGCUAAUCCCAUAAACCGUGGCUCAGUUCAGAUCGUAGGCUGCAACUCGACUGCGUGAAGUCGGAAUCGCUAGUAAUCGCAGGUCAGCAUGCCGCGGUGAAUACGUUCCCGGGUCUUGUACACACCGCCCGUCACACCAUGGGAGUGGGUUUCACCAGAAGAGGCUAGCCUAACCGUAAGGGGGGCGGUCGCCACGGUGAGAUUCAUGACUGGGGUGAAGUCGUAACAAG
RNAcentral lists this ribosomal RNA (1440 nucleotides) under cyanobacterium IHB-347. Its description in RNAcentral is "16S ribosomal RNA". It matches the Rfam family "Bacterial small subunit ribosomal RNA". The record is from RNAcentral. Lineage: Bacteria; Bacillati; Cyanobacteriota.